RNAcentral lists this long non-coding RNA (492 nucleotides) under Chrysolophus pictus (golden pheasant). RNAcentral describes it as "lncRNA (ENSCPIG00010003500.1)". The record is from RNAcentral. Lineage: Eukaryota; Metazoa; Chordata; Aves; Galliformes; Phasianidae.
UCUACAGACCACACAGACUGUUAACCCACUCACUGAGAGGUAACAAAGUCUCCCUUUGAUUUUUCUUGACUAAAGUACGGAAAUCAAACAAUUCUAAGAGCAUCUCCAGCACUAAACAUGAGCUUCACUCAUUGCAGACCUCCUUCAACCUCAGCUGGACACUGGAUAUACAGGAGUUUCUUUCUGUCAGCAUAUUUAAGACUAAAAGUAAAUAAGAACGGGACCAACUUGGCUAGAAUAAAACCAUUUAUUUGCUCAAGCAACAUUUCAAGAACACCUGAACAGCUAUUUUGGAAAUAUGCUGAUAUCUCCAUUCAGCCUUCCACGUCUGUUAUCCACCUUCAGAAAAGCACUGAAAGAUACCCAUCAAUCCAUAAGUGGGAUGUACUGAAGCAGGUCUCAACAGGCUAUGUCAAACAGCCCAAAGUAACCUUGCUGUCUGGGAACAGUAACUUCGUGUAUCACCAUCUUCCAGAAGAAAACUAUAAAUAA